RNAcentral lists this ribosomal RNA (86 nucleotides) under Gaeumannomyces tritici R3-111a-1. The record is from RNAcentral. Lineage: Eukaryota; Fungi; Ascomycota; Sordariomycetes; Magnaporthales; Magnaporthaceae.
ACAUACGACCAUACCCAUUGGAAUAUACGGGAUCCCGUCCGCUCUCCCCUAGUUAAACCAGUAAGGGCCAUUUUGUACUGUGAGAC